GACGAACGCUGGCGGCGUGCCUAAUACAUGCAAGUCGAGCGGACUUAAAAAGCUUGCUUUUUAAGUUAGCGGCGGACGGGUGAGUAACACGUGGGCAACCUGCCCGUAAGACUGGGAUAACUUCGGGAAACCGGAGCUAAUACCGGAUAAUCCUUUUCUACUCAUGUAGAAAUGCUGAAAGACGGUUUACGCUGUCACUUACAGAUGGGCUCGCGGCGCAUUAGCUAGUUGGUGAGGUAACGGCUCACCAAGGCGACGAUGCGUAGCCGACCUGAGAGGGUGGUCGGCCACACUGGGACUGAGACACGGCCCAGACUCCUACGCGAGGCAGCAGUAGGGAAUCUUCCGCAAUGGACGAAAGUCUGACGGAGCAACGCCGCGUGAGUGAUGAAGGUGUUCGGAUCGUAACACUCUGUUGUUAGGGAAGAACAAGUACGAGAGUAACUGCUCGUACCUUGACGGUACCUAACCAGAAAGCCACGGCUAACUACGUG
Molecule: ribosomal RNA, 494 nt
Filed under: uncultured bacterium
Lineage: Bacteria
Description: partial 16S ribosomal RNA
Rfam family: Bacterial small subunit ribosomal RNA
Source: RNAcentral